CGCUCGCUCCGCGCUCGCCGCCCUGUAACUUCUGUUCUGGGAAGUGGUGCCAGGAAUAGCCCAGCGGAGCCGCCUGCAGCGCGGAGCGCUCCCUCCCGCCGCGGCCAGGGCGGGCUGCGGCUCCCGGGCCUCCGCCUCUUCCCCGUGCAACACCAGCCCCUCCGCCACUGUCAAGAGAGAUGGUGAUGAGCCUUUCCAAAAAGAGGGAGAGGAAUGACCUGCCUUAAGAUAAACGCGUGAAGCGGGCGCCCCUUGGCCGUUGGAAUAUUUCUUGUCUGUCUUUAUAUAUAAAGAAGCACCGCCAGCCGCCUCACUCCGGGCGAGCCCUCAGCAAAGGAGCAACACGAGCGCCCGGCGGGAUCAGCAGCAGCAGCAACAACAACAACAAGGGCACCGGGAGGGCUUCCCUCCUUCCUCCUCGGUGACUUCCCAGAUCACCCUCUGCAUGGCAGGAAAGAGAAAGACACAUGGGAUGAUGGAGUUCCUUUACGUACACCUCUCCAAAACUUCAGUGCAGCAUAUUUUCCACAAAUGGAGUGACUAUGAGAGAAACCUUUUAAUUUUCUUUCUCUUUCUCACUCACAAUUUUGCUAAGUAAAGAAGAAAAUGUGGAUGUUAAAUACACAAUUUUGGAUAUAUGCUGGUUGAGGAUGAGGCUUAGAGGGGAAGAUGAAUAAGAUGGGGAGAGGAGGUUUGGAUGUGACUGACAGUGGAUGCCUACAGGAAGUUAUUUUUAUCAGAUCAGGUUUCCCUUUAACACUGUCUUCAACCUAAAGAAUUUUGGUAUAAGAGCUUUUAAAAUCCCUGCCCAGUUGCAAGUCGUACAAGCAUGUGUUGAUGAGAACUGAGGUCCUACAGAAGGCACCAUUUAGGAUACAGUGAUAGCAUCCUCUAGCUUUCAUUGUUUGACAUCUCCGCAGAUAGCUUACACACAGAAUACAAUGCACGCUUUUGAUUUAAUUUAUUUGCAGUAUCAUUUGAUCCCGGUCAAUAGUUCGACCCACUUAAAUAGCAAGCAGGGGAAAAAAUGAAACCAGUUUUGACUAAGUCUUUCUCAGUCAAGUGGGUUGUCUGGCGAGCCAAGAGUGUAAUAAAUAGAUUUGGUGGCUAUUUACA
This 1116-nucleotide long non-coding RNA is filed under the name Manacus vitellinus (golden-collared manakin). RNAcentral describes it as "lncRNA (ENSMVIG00005011729.1)". Lineage: Eukaryota; Metazoa; Chordata; Aves; Passeriformes; Pipridae. The record is from RNAcentral.